RNAcentral lists this transfer RNA (73 nucleotides) under Sigmops gracilis (slender fangjaw). RNAcentral's name for it is "tRNA-Asn". The record is from RNAcentral. Lineage: Eukaryota; Metazoa; Chordata; Actinopteri; Stomiiformes; Gonostomatidae.
UAGAUGGAUGCUCGCAGAGUAGAGUGUUUAGCUGUUAACUAAAAAUGAGUAGGAUCGAGGCCUUCCCAUCUAG